AUUGAACGCUGGCGGCAUGCCUUACACAUGCAAGUCGAACGGCAGCACGGGAGCAAUCCUGGUGGCGAGUGGCGAACGGGUGAGUAAUAUAUCGGAACGUGCCCGGUCGUGGGGGAUAACGUAGCGAAAGCUACGCUAAUACCGCAUACGAUCUACGGAUGAAAGCGGGGGAUCGCAAGACCUCGCGCGAUUGGAGCGGCCGAUAUCAGAUUAGGUAGUUGGUGAGGUAAAGGCUCACCAAGCCGACGAUCUGUAGCUGGUCUGAGAGGACGACCAGCCACACUGGGACUGAGACACGGCCCAGACUCCUACGGGAGGCAGCAGUGGGAAUUUUGGACAAUGGGCGCAAGCCUGAUCCAGCAAUGCCGCGUGCAGGAUGAAGGCCUUGG
This 389-nucleotide ribosomal RNA is filed under the name uncultured bacterium. RNAcentral's name for it is "bacterial SSU rRNA". It matches the Rfam family "Bacterial small subunit ribosomal RNA", at positions 30 to 420 of the family's 1533-position model. The record is from RNAcentral.